Molecule: small nucleolar RNA, 139 nt
Organism: Lolium rigidum
Lineage: Eukaryota; Viridiplantae; Streptophyta; Magnoliopsida; Poales; Poaceae
Product: small nucleolar RNA Z247
Exons: 1
Source: RefSeq, a predicted model, not a curated record
CCCCUGCGUCCGGAGGAGUUCAUCGGCUAUGUCCUCGAUGGCCUGGACGAUGACUAUGAUCCUCUCGUCGCGGUCAUCACCAACCGGACCACUCCGAUUCCGGUACGUGAUCUGCUCGCGCAGCUCCAGAGUAUGGAGC